This 253-nucleotide ribosomal RNA is filed under the name uncultured bacterium. Its description in RNAcentral is "partial 16S ribosomal RNA". It matches the Rfam family "Bacterial small subunit ribosomal RNA", at positions 524 to 776 of the family's 1533-position model. The record is from RNAcentral.
UACGGGGGGGGCAAGCGUUGUUCGGAAUUACUGGGCGUAAAGGGCUCGUAGGCGGCCAACUAAGUCAGACGUGAAAUCCCUCGGCUUAACCGGGGAACUGCGUCUGAUACUGGAUGGCUUGAGAUCGGGAGAGGGAUGCGGAAUUCCAGGUGUAGCGGUGAAAUGCGUAGAGAUCGGGAGGAACAUCUGUGGCGAAGGCGGCCAUCUGGACCAGCACUGACACUGAGGCACGAAAGCGUGGGGAGCAAACAGG